AAGACCUUGCACUUUUGGAGCGGCCGAUGUCUGAUUAGCUAGUUGGUGGGGUAAUGGCCUAUCAAAGCUUCGAUCAGUAGCUGGUCUGAGAGGACGGCCAGCCACACUGGGACUGAGACACGGCCCAGACUCCUACGGGAGGCAGCAGUGGGGAAUUUUGGACAAUGGGCGCAAGCCUGAUCCAGCCAUGCCGCGUGAGUGAAGAAGGCCUUCGGGUUGUAAAGCUCUUUCAGCCGGGAAGAAAAGGUUGCGACUAAUAAUCGCAAUUCAUGACGGUACCGAAAGAAGAAGCACCGGCUAACUACGUGCCAGCAGCCGCGGUAAUACGUAGGGUGCGAGCGUUAAUCGGAAUUACUGGGCGUAAAGGGUGCGCAGGCGGUUUUGUAAGUCAGAUGUGAAAUCCCCGGGCUUAACCUGGGAACU
This 423-nucleotide ribosomal RNA is filed under the name uncultured bacterium. RNAcentral describes it as "bacterial SSU rRNA". It matches the Rfam family "Bacterial small subunit ribosomal RNA", at positions 207 to 622 of the family's 1533-position model. The record is from RNAcentral.